This 497-nucleotide ribosomal RNA is filed under the name uncultured bacterium. Its description in RNAcentral is "partial 16S ribosomal RNA". It matches the Rfam family "Bacterial small subunit ribosomal RNA", at positions 28 to 507 of the family's 1533-position model. The record is from RNAcentral.
GAUGAACGCUGGCGGCGUGCCUAAUACAUGCAAGUCGAGCGAACGGACGAGAAGCUUGCUUCUCUGAUGUUAGCGGCGGACGGGUGAGUAACACGUGGAUAACCUACCUAUAAGACUGGGAUAACUUCGGGAAACCGGAGCUAAUACCGGAUAAUAUUUUGAACCGCAUGGUUCAAAAGUGAAAGACGGUCUUUCUGUCACUUAUAGAUGGAUCCGCGCUGCAUUAGCUAGUUGGUAAGGUAACGGCUUACCAAGGCAACGAUGCAUAGCCGACCUGAGAGGGUGAUCGGCCACACUGGAACUGAGACACGGUCCAGACUCCUACGGGAGGCAGCAGUAGGGAAUCUUACGCAAUGGGCGAAAGCCUGACGGAGCAACGCCGCGUGAGUGAUGAAGGUCUUCGGAUCGUAAAACUCUGUUAUUAGGGAAGAACAUAUGUGUAAGUAACUGUGCACAUCUUGACGGUACCUAAUCAGAAAGCCACGGCUAACUACGUG